GAUGAACGCUGGCGGCGUGCCUAAUACAUGCAAGUCGAGCGAACGGACGAGAAGCUUGCUUCUCUGAUGUUAGCGGCGGACGGGAGUGUAACACGUGGAUACCCUACCUAUAAGACUGGGAUAACUUCGGGAAACCGGCGCUAAUACCGGAAAAUCUUUUGAACCGCAUUGUUCAAAAGUGAAAGACGGUCUUUCUGUCACUUAUAGGUCGAUCCGGGCUGCAUUAGGUGGUUGGUAAGGUAACGGCUUACAAAGGCAACGAUUCAUAGCCGACCUGGGGGGGUGAUCGGCCACACGGGAACUGAGACACGGCCCAGACUCCUACGGGAGGCAGCAGUAGGGAAUCUUCCGCAAAGGGCGAAAGCCUGACGGAGCAACGCCGCGUGAGUGAUGAAGGUCUUCGGAUCGUAAGACUCGGUUAUUAGGGAAGAACAGAUGGGUAAGUAACUGUGCACAUCUUGACGGUACCUAAUCAGAAAGCCACGGCUAACUACGUG
This 497-nucleotide ribosomal RNA is filed under the name uncultured bacterium. RNAcentral's name for it is "partial 16S ribosomal RNA". It matches the Rfam family "Bacterial small subunit ribosomal RNA", at positions 28 to 507 of the family's 1533-position model. The record is from RNAcentral.